This 492-nucleotide ribosomal RNA is filed under the name uncultured bacterium. Its description in RNAcentral is "partial 16S ribosomal RNA". It matches the Rfam family "Bacterial small subunit ribosomal RNA", at positions 29 to 507 of the family's 1533-position model. The record is from RNAcentral.
AGUGAACGCUGGCGGUAGGCCUAACACAUGCAAGUCGAACGGCAGCACAGUAAGAGCUUGCUCUUACGGGUGGCGAGUGGCGGACGGGUGAGGAAUACAUCGGCAUCUACUUUUUCGUGGGGGAUAACGUAGGGAAACUUACGCUAAUACCGCAUACGACCUACGGGUGAAAGCAGGGGAUCUUCGGACCUUGCGCGAUUGAAUGAGCCGAUGUCGGAUUAGCUAGUUGGCGGGGUAAGGGCCCACCAAGGCGACGAUCCGUAGCUGGUCUGAGAGGAUGAUCAGCCACACUGGAACUGAGACACGGUCCAGACUCCUACGGGAGGCAGCAGUGGGGAAUAUUGGACAAUGGGCGCAAGCCUGAUCCAGCCAUACCGCGUGGGUGAAGAAGGCCUUCGGGUUGUAAAGCCCUUUUGUUGGGAAAGAAAAGCAGCAGGUUAAUACCCCGCUGUUCUGACGGUACCCAAAGAAUAAGCACCGGCUAACUUCGUG